RNAcentral lists this transfer RNA (72 nucleotides) under Bos taurus (domestic cattle). It matches the Rfam family "tRNA". Rfam says of the family: Transfer RNA (tRNA) molecules are approximately 80 nucleotides in length. The record is from Rfam by way of RNAcentral. Lineage: Eukaryota; Metazoa; Chordata; Mammalia; Artiodactyla; Bovidae. RNAcentral also lists the same sequence under 5 other names.
UCUCUGGUAGCUCAGAUGGUAAAGAAUCUGCCUGCAAUGCAGGAGACCCAGGUUCGAUCCCUGGGUUGGGAA